GUCCUAUGGAGGAGGCAGCAGAGACUCUGCUCUCCUCGUUUGGAUUAAUUCUGAUAUAAUAACUGUUGGUUUAUUUAUCGGUGCAGCAGCAGAACAUUUUCCACAGACAGUUUUCCUGCCCGUUGGCUUGUUUUAACCAGUUUUCUACCUUUGGCUGAUUCUACCAGCAGACACUGAAAGGACUCUGAUAGUUCGGUGUCUCAUGUUCACUGUGAGGAUCUUCUGAGUGAAGCCAACAGAAGGAAAACCUCAUCUGGAUGUGAAGAAGGAGACUGAAUGGACGACAUCCUCAGUGAACCACUUCCUGUUUAACUUUCACUUACAGAAGAGUGAAAGUAGCAGUUCCUCCUGAAGGUCAGAGAUUGCAGCAACCGAGGGCCUCUUCAAAAGAAGAUGUAGUUGAUGAAGGCGUUCUGGAGCAGGACCAGAAAGACCACGACCAAGCAGCCUUGAGAUCUUAGACAGCGUCUCCCUCAGGUCCCUCUCUAUCUCCCCACACAUCCACCAACCACUGGAACACAUCUCCAAAGUUCUGCUGGACCAGCU
Amphiprion ocellaris (clown anemonefish) is the source of this 546-nucleotide long non-coding RNA. The record is from Ensembl. NCBI's taxonomy places the organism in Eukaryota, Metazoa, Chordata, Actinopteri, Pomacentridae.